UGACCCUGGAGGCUCUGUAGCCACGACGAAUCACCGGGCCUUUGGGGACUGGGCUCCCCAGGUGGCUUCCUGCCAGGCCCUCACCCUGCCUUCGGAAGCACACCCCUGCCUUCUCCAAGCAGGACUGACUGGGAGCUUGAGUUUGAAAAGCUAAUAGGAAAUUUCCCUCAAGUGUUGGUUGUCCUCCAGAUCCACACAGUGGAGAGCCUCUUGCCUGGUGGCCAGUGACAGAGCCAGCAGCCAGUGGAGGGCUCUCCCGUGUCCUGGAGGCAGAAGUUCCCCGGGCCCAGGGACAACACAGGGACCCUGGCAUGUCCUGGGUGCCUCUUUGAUGCACUCUCCCACUUUGGGAUCUAAAAGGCCCCUGGCCAAACUGACUUCUUCAGGAUCUCACCAGCAACCCUGGCGGUUAGGGCCUCCAGGCGUAUCAUCUAGCCAGGAUGUGGGACUGCGCUCGUGGCCCUGGCCUGUCCAGCUGGUCCCAGGAAGGUCAUUCCCAUGUUUCUGUGUGAGCCAGCCUGUAACGUCUUGAGAGACAAAAUGGAGGGUCUGCUUUCCAGGCCUGAGUCUGGCAUCUUCUAGACACUUCCGGACCUUCCAGACACUUGGUUUCCCCUUCCUUAAGGGCAGCAACACCACUUCUCCCCCAUACACAUCCGGGUUGUUGUGAGGACUCCAGGAGUAACCGUUAGGAAGGCUCAACGUGGUGCUAGGCACAGGGUGGUACUCGUGCCACAGGCCUACUUCCUAGACUGUGAAUGUGGGAAGUGUCACUCACAUGUCCCCUCAGCCAGGACCUGUGGCUCCUGCUCUUUAAACAACCCAUCCAGCGUUUGGCGCGCACCACCUGGUUGAUUUCGUCAGCCUUUCCUCGAUCUUGAAGAACGACCUCAGCCAGGCCGAGGCACCAGCCAGGCUGCUCCGGGUGCUGUCAGUGACUCAGGACUGGUUUGGGGCAGACAGAAGGAGCACCGGCUGGGAUUUCAGCAGGACCAGCCACCUCACGGAGCAUACGCCUUUGAGACGAUGUGUCCAGAGCCGGACUCCCACCUGCUCCACAGACCUCUCCGGGGACCCGCUCUGGGUACCCACGAGCUUAGCUCGCCGCUUUGUCUCUCUCCGUGCCCCGGUCCUCCCUGGCCCUCCUGCCUGGAGCCGUCCUGCACCGUCUACUGGCUCAGCAGACAUUUGUCUCUGUGUCGGACCGGGCUGGCGCUGGGGAGGCGGCCCGUUAGAAGGCCCGCGGGGGCCUUCCUGUCACCCGCAUGACUCCAUCAGCUUCCCUCUGGCUUUUGUCACUCGACUGUGAGGACCAGUUGCUUCUUGCCUGCGUUUGAUCUGCCCUCCAACGGGGCUCCCUGGGGCCUGGCCACUCCUCGGCUCCAGCUCUUGCCUCUGCGGCUCUUCCUGGAAGCGAAUCCCGCUCUCUGCUGGUCACUGGACGGGCUCCACCAGGAGGACCCUGGUCCAGCUUUCCGGACCCCCUUUCCGAAGUCACACUUUGCCUCCAUCCCUCAAGGGGGCAAGGUCCCAGGCUCUUUGAAGACCUGAAUUCAAACCAGUUUACUCAGGGGACAUUCAAUUUGCAAUUGUGACAAUGAUUUUAAAGUCCACCUACAAAUGAAUAAAUAAAUAAAACAGAG
This 1643-nucleotide long non-coding RNA is filed under the name Ursus americanus (American black bear). Its description in RNAcentral is "lncRNA (ENSUAMG00000001477.1)". Lineage: Eukaryota; Metazoa; Chordata; Mammalia; Carnivora; Ursidae. The record is from RNAcentral.